Balaenoptera musculus (blue whale) is the source of this 2231-nucleotide long non-coding RNA. The record is from Ensembl. Lineage: Eukaryota; Metazoa; Chordata; Mammalia; Artiodactyla; Balaenopteridae.
AAAACAGAACAGGCUAUGGGAAAGAAUUAGCGAGCCGGUGAAGCCCGUGAAGCCCGGGCUCCCCUCUCGGCGUCUGCCCUUCUGCCUGGUGGAGAUGCGCCCAUUCCCUGACAGCACGAAACCGGAACGUGAUGUUCAUCAGCAAGGUCCCAGCAUGUCCAGCAGUGGUGGAAACCCUCUGUAAAUAGCCUGCUUCUCCAUGUGACUGCCAGAGGCCUUCUGUCCUGUGCACACUCACCACUUCAAUAGGGUAGCCAGAAAUCAAUCUGAUGAGAAAAGAAACAUUUCCGUAUACCCCACCCAGAAGAACGCUGCCAGAUGGUUGACCUGCCAGGUUCUCUUCCUUCUCACAUACAUAACCAGGUCCAGACGCGCUCUUUGCAUGCAGGACCUGGAAGCAUCUUGGAGAAAUCCCAAGAGAAGGGCCCAGAAGGACCCUGCUGGGAGAGGCCUCAGGGCCAGAAGCCAAGUCCUAUGAGGACACCAGUCUCUGUGAUCCAGGCAGGGGAUGAUGGCUGCGCGGAAAGGACAGCUUUGAGGAGAGGCCACUCUUUCGGCAGGGUCCGUGGUCUCGUUUUGUGCAACUCACCCCUGAUUUCUAGGUGCAACCCAGAUGCUCCUCAAAAGAAGGCCUGUCUUUGAAGCCAGACCAGGAGGGGGUAAAGUGGAAUCCGUUGUCUUUCCCAAGCCUUGGUUAGAGUUUUUUUUUUUUUUUUUUAAGAAACGUCCUUUGGAAAACAAUCUGGCAGAAGAUGUAGGACAAUGAUGAGCCCAGGGCGUGGGGCUCUUCCCAAGGACUGUAGCAGAUAUGCAGUGCGGACUCACGGCUCAGGGCUGACGAAACACAGCUGUCUUCCAGGGUCUGUGCUGCAUGGCUCUCCCACCCAGGGGCGCUCAUGGGCAGCCUGAAGUCAGAUGGUUCCUGUUGUAAGAAGCCCUCUGCUCAUCUCCACCAGGACUGCCACGAGUUCACGGAGAUGCAAGUGCAGGCAGGACACCUGGGCCUGGCCGGGCAUGCCCUGCACGUUCUCCUCUGAACCCAAGCAGCUUCCAGUCAGCUCCAGCUUAUCUUUGAGCUCUUUGAAGACAGUCUGGACAGGAGAGGACAAACCUGGGGUCCCAGGUGUCUUCUGAUUGGCUCAGCAGGGUUCUGGGAACCAUGGAGGGGAAGACUUUGGUGCAGCUUCUCCGUCAGCGUCAGGUCCCCGGGCUGAAUUCCUCUUCAAGCCCCUCCAGUUUCCUGUGUGUAUAUCAGUGCUGGGCUACUCUGUAAGGAAGGAGGCCAGGGUAUGCAAUCAUCUUACACUUUGGGAGCUCCUUGGCAAUUGUCCUGAGGCCUGGGGAUGUCCUGAUCUCUAUUAAACUAAGAUGUUCGUCUGGAGUUGGGGAGAGGUUAUGUUGGGGAUCAGACAGAACUGUCAUAGGCUGGAGCUUGGGACAUAGAUGCUUCCUGGGUCCAGUUUGAUGGCUGAGAUGCCCACGUGAAGUCCUGGGCCACCUGCUUGAUGACCCCAGUGCCAAGGAGGAAGGGGUGCCUCAAAGGUGUCCCCUUGAUCUGCCUGGACCCUCCAAAGCUGGCAGCUUCACACUCCCUUGCUCACUUCGGCAGCUUUGAUGUCUCUGUGGAUCUCUGUCAGAAUGUGAGUAAUCUAAGCCCUUCAGAAUUCCCCUCAGAAGGUGGCAAUUCAGGGCUCCCCCUAGAUUCCAUGUUUUAGCGGGUCCAGGUGGCGAUCCCUCCCAAGACAAUCCACAACGAUCCAGGCUUUGGUGGAGACAGUGGCUGCACUGGCCUAGCAUGAUGACCUUCCUCAGUCUCAUCCUCCUCUUCCGGACUGAUGACCUUGGAAGAGGGAGCAAUUGCCAUCUUCCUGGACACCUUUUCCCAGCUGGCCAAGCUUAGGGAAGAGUUCUCAGGAUCUACCUGGGAAUGCUGGUGGGCAAACUCCCUCUAGGGCGCCGAGUCCUGCCACUGCCAGCAGACCGCCUUUCCACACCCCCAGGAAGCUCUUAGAUUCCUCCCGUGAUGCCCCGGGUUGGGGGCAGUCUGGGAUGUGCAGAUGGUGAGGUCAACAGGGGUAGGGAAUUGUAGCCACACAGUUGGCCCAAUCUCUAAGAUUGCUUACAGUAUGUCCUUGCAGGAACCAUUGAUCCAGGACUGUGCACGCUUGAUUUUAUAAUCUGUUCCCGCAGGUCCUGAAUGAAUGACCUCCAGCACAACCGCACGUACCCAG